This is a long non-coding RNA of Bolinopsis microptera, 466 nucleotides long. RefSeq lists it as uncharacterized. The record is from RefSeq and is a predicted model, not a curated record. The transcript has 2 exons. Lineage: Eukaryota; Metazoa; Ctenophora; Tentaculata; Lobata; Bolinopsidae.
UUUAUUUUAGCAAAGUUUUCCCCAAAUUUUCAUCAUGAAGCUGUUAAUUUUACUCGCCCUCUUCGGUAUGCUCGCUGUUAUAAACUGUCAAGAUGAUGGAGUUGUCGUAGAAGGUGAAGAUGUAGAAGGUGAUGAAGUAGAAGGUGAUGAAGUAGAAGGUGAUGAAGAAGAAGGUGAUGAAGAAGAAGGUGACGACGAUAGUGGUGCCACAUCAAUGCAGAUGGCCCUUCUUGCACUUGUGCCCAUCGCUGCCCAACUUUUCUAGAGUACCUUCACUGAUCCCGAUUAAGUUUUACGACGUUUUAACGUCUCAAACUAUGGUUAAGAUUUAGGGACGUGAUUUUGUUCAUGUUUUUGGUUAAUUGUUUCAUUUUUCGUAGCUCCUAUUUGAUAGUGCACCAGUUCUUAUUGUUUUGAUUCGGAUUUUAAUGUUUGCGCUAAUAGCUGUCAGCUUUAGAUUUAAAAA